RNAcentral lists this long non-coding RNA (470 nucleotides) under Homo sapiens (human). Its description in RNAcentral is "HSALNT0169890". Lineage: Eukaryota; Metazoa; Chordata; Mammalia; Primates; Hominidae. The record is from RNAcentral.
GCACCGGGAAGCAGGGGCCGAGCCUUCCCCGCUCUGUGCCUGGGGGCUCUGGGCACUGUCUACACCUGGGAGGUGGUCAGCAUAUGUGCGUGGGAACUUGCUGGAAGGAAGGAAUGACCCUUCUAGCCAUGGAACGGUGGUCAUCCGUGAGCCACGGCCUCAGGAGGUGCCUUCCUAAUGUGCAGGUGACGAUUGCCUCUGAGCUCAGGCAUGCAGCUUCUGGGAUGCACUCUCCUUUCACGGCAAAGCAUUCUGCAUAGGAAAAACCGUCUCUGCGUCUCCAAGCUGUGGCCUAGCCCUUCAUUCAUCAAAUGGGAUACAACUUUCAUUUCUUAUUAAAAUCUGGAAGUCACUCUCCAUUUGUAAGAUAUUUGGAACUUGACAUAAUUUGAGCUGUUUAUGUUGUAGCCAGCUGCCUGAGGUGGCUGACAGCUUCACCCAGCUGAGGUUCUUGCCCAUCCUAUACACCC